GCAAGUCGAGCGGAACACUUGGAGCUUGCUCCAAGCGUUUAGCGGCGGACGGGUGAGUAACACGUGGGCAACCUGCCCUGCAGAUCGGGAUAACUCCGGGAAACCGGUGCUAAUACCGAAUAGUUUUCGGCCCCUCCUGGGGCCGUACGGAAAGACGGUUUCGGCUGUCACUGCAGGAUGGGCCCGCGGCGCAUUAGCUAGUUGGUGGGGUAACGGCCCACCAAGGCGACGAUGCGUAGCCGACCUGAGAGGGUGAUCGGCCACACUGGGACUGAGACACGGCCCAGACUCCUACGGGAGGCAGCAGUAGGGAAUCUUCCGCAAUGGACGCAAGUCUGACGGAGCAACGCCGCGUGAGUGACGAAGGUUUUCGGAUCGUAAAACUCUGUUGUGAGGGAAGAACACGUACCAGCUAACUACUGGUACCUUGACGGUACCUCACCAGAAAGCCACGGCUAACUACGUGCCAGCAGCCGCGGUAAUACGUAGGUGGCAAGCGUUGUCCGGAAUUAUUGGGCGUAAAGCGCGCGCAGGCGGUCCCUUAAGUCUGAUGUGAAAGCCCACGGCUCAACCGUGGAGGGUCAUUGGAAACUGGGGGACUUGAGUGCAGAAGAGGAAAGUGGAAUUCCACGUGUAGCGGUGAAAUGCGUAGAGAUGUGGAGGAACACCAGUGGCGAAGGCGACUUUCUGGUCUGUAACUGACGCUGAGGCGCG
RNAcentral lists this ribosomal RNA (714 nucleotides) under Planomicrobium sp. MJH76. Its description in RNAcentral is "bacterial SSU rRNA". It matches the Rfam family "Bacterial small subunit ribosomal RNA", at positions 57 to 755 of the family's 1533-position model. The record is from RNAcentral. Lineage: Bacteria; Bacillati; Bacillota; Bacilli; Caryophanales; Caryophanaceae.